UGAGUAACGCGUGAGGAUUUGCCCUUAGGAGGGGAACAACAGUUGGAAACGACUGCUAAUGCCCCAUAUGCCGAGAGGUGAAAAGUUUUAUCGCCUGAGGAUGAACUCGCGUCUGAUUAGCUAGUUGGUGGGGUAAAGGCCCACCAAGGCGACGAUCAGUAGCUGGUCUAAGAGGAUGAUCAGCCACACUGGGACUGAGACACGGCCCAGACUCCUACGGGAGGCAGCAUUAGGACUUUUUUGCAUUGGGCGAAAGCUCCCGGAGUUUCGCCGCGUGAGGUCAGUGGCCUUCAGUAUGUAGCCU
This 304-nucleotide ribosomal RNA is filed under the name uncultured cyanobacterium. RNAcentral describes it as "bacterial SSU rRNA". It matches the Rfam family "Bacterial small subunit ribosomal RNA", at positions 107 to 432 of the family's 1533-position model. Lineage: Bacteria; Bacillati; Cyanobacteriota. The record is from RNAcentral.